RNAcentral lists this long non-coding RNA (1359 nucleotides) under Anolis carolinensis (green anole). RNAcentral's name for it is "lncRNA (ENSACAG00000043341.1)". The record is from RNAcentral. Lineage: Eukaryota; Metazoa; Chordata; Lepidosauria; Squamata; Anolidae.
AUGGAGUUUGGUUUGGACAAAUGUUCGACAGUGGCAUUGAAGAAAGGAAAAAUCAUUGAAAAUGAGGGCAUAAAUAUGCCUAAUGGCCAAACAAUAAAGUGUCACCAGCCAGAGGCCUAUAAAUAUCUGGGCAUAUUACAGCUGGACAACAUCAAGCAUGAACAUGUGAAGACUGUGGUCAGUAAAGAAUACACACAAAGGGUCAGAAAAAUUCUCAAAAGCAAGCUCAAUGGAGGCAACACCAUCAAGGCCAUAAACACCUGGGCCAUACCUGUCAUAAGAUAUACCGCUGGCAUUAUAAAUUGGACACAGGCAGAACUGGACAAUUUGGACAGAAAAACAAGAAAACUCAUGACCAUUCAUCAUUCCCUGCACCCUCGCAGUGAUGUUGACCGGCUAUAUCUGCCUAGAAGAUCAGGGGGCAGAGGACUCUUACAAGUAAAACAAGCAGUCAAAGAAGAAGAACAUGCUCUGGCAGAAUAUGUAAAACAAAGUGAAGAACCUGCUUUGAUUGAAGUCAAAAAUCAGAAACUCCUCAAAGCACAGCAGACAAAAAACCAGUACAAGAAAACCGCACUACAAACUAGAGCUGACAGCUGGCACAACAAAACAUUGCAUGGAAAGUUCCUUGACAGAAUUGAAGGAAAAGCUGACAAGGAGAAGACCUGGCUCUGGCUCACGAAUGGGACCCUGAAGAAGGAGACAGAAGGCCUGAUCCUUGCAGCCCAGGAGCAAGCCAUCAGAACAAAGGCAAUCAAGGCCAAGAUCGAAAAAUCAGCUGACGACCCAAAAUGCAGACUCUGCAAGGAAACUGACGGAAACAUUGAUCAUAUCCUCAGCUGCUGUAAGAAAGUCACACAGACAGACUACAAACAGAGGCACAACUAUGUGGCCCAAAUGAUUCAUUGGAACUUAUGCCUCAAGUCCCACCUCCCAGCAGCAAAGAACUGGUGGGAUCACAAACCUGCAAAAGUAUUGGAAAAUGAGCACGCAAAGAUACUGUGGGACUUCCGAAUCCAGACUGACAAAGUUCUGGAACACAACACACCAGACAUCACAGUUGUGGAAAGGAAAAAGGUUAGGAUCAUUGAUGUCGCCAUCCCAGGUGACAGUCGCAAUGACGAAAAACAACAGGAAAAACUCAGCCGCUAUCAGGACCUCAAGAUUGAACUUCAAAGACUCUGGCAGAAACCAGUACCGGUGGUCCCGGUGGUGAUGGGCACACUGGGUGCCGUGCCAAAAUAUCUCAGCCAGCAUUUGGAAGCAAUAGACAUUGACAAAAUUACGAUCUGCCAACUGCAAAAGGCCACCCUGCUGGGAUCUGCACGCAUCAUCCGAAAAUACAUCACACAGUCCUAG